RNAcentral lists this unclassified non-coding RNA (352 nucleotides) under soil metagenome. Its description in RNAcentral is "partial contains 5.8S ribosomal RNA, internal transcribed spacer 2, and large subunit ribosomal RNA". The stretch from base 1 to 120 matches the Rfam family "5.8S ribosomal RNA", at positions 35 to 154 of the family's 154-position model. The record is from RNAcentral.
GAUGAAGAACGCAGCGAAAUGCGAUAAGUAAUGUGAAUUGCAGAAUUCAGUGAAUCAUCGAAUCUUUGAACGCACAUUGCGCCCGCCAGUAUUCUGGCGGGCAUGCCUGUUCGAGCGUCAUUACAACCCUCAGGCCCCCGGGCCUGGCGUUGGGGAUCGGCGGAGCCCCCCGUGGGCACACGCCGUCCCCCAAAUGCAGUGGCGGUCCCGCCGCAGCUUCCAUCGCGUAGUAGCUAACACCUCGCGACUGGAUAGCGGCGCGGCCACGCCGUAAAACACCCAACUCUUCUGAAGUUGACCUCGAAUCAGGUAGGAAUACCCGCUGAACUUAAGCAUAUCAAUAAGCGGAGGA